RNAcentral lists this ribosomal RNA (484 nucleotides) under uncultured bacterium. RNAcentral's name for it is "bacterial SSU rRNA". It matches the Rfam family "Bacterial small subunit ribosomal RNA", at positions 30 to 507 of the family's 1533-position model. The record is from RNAcentral. RNAcentral also lists the same sequence under 1 other name.
AUUGAACGCUGGCGGCAUGCCUUACACAUGCAAGUCGAACGGCAGCACGGGAGCAAUCCUGGUGGCGAGUGGCGAACGGGUGAGUAAUGUAUCGGAACGUGCCCAGUCGUGGGGGAUAACGUAGCGAAAGCUACGCUAAUACCGCAUACGAUCUAUGGAUGAAAGCGGGGGACCGUAAGGCCUCGCGCGAUUGGAGCGGCCGAUAUCAGAUUAGGUAGUUGGUGGGGUAAAGGCCUACCAAGCCGACGAUCUGUAGCUGGUCUGAGAGGACGACCAGCCACACUGGGACUGAGACACGGCCCAGACUCCUACGGGAGGCAGCAGUGGGGAAUUUUGGACAAUGGGCGCAAGCCUGAUCCAGCAAUGCCGCGUGCAGGAUGAAGGCCUUCGGGUUGUAAACUGCUUUUGUACGGAGCGAAAAGGCUCUCUCUAAUACAGGGGGCUCAUGACGGUACCGUAAGAAUAAGCACCGGCUAACUACGUG